This is a long non-coding RNA of Cottoperca gobio, 334 nucleotides long. RefSeq lists it as uncharacterized. NCBI's taxonomy places the organism in Eukaryota, Metazoa, Chordata, Actinopteri, Perciformes, Bovichtidae. The record is from RefSeq and is a predicted model, not a curated record. The transcript is spliced from 2 exons.
CCUCUUCCGUCUGCUAUCCCAGUCUGAGACACAGAAAAACACCGAGUUCAACUAGCAAGUUAGCAUGUGCUUAACGGUACCGUUAUCUGGGAACAGUUAACGUCACUUGUACAUCCCGCUACCCUCUGCUUUGAAGAGAUGAGAUUCAAAGACCACAAGAAGUGAAAUUAAAGCAGCAGUGGGGGUCCACCUUAAGCAUGCCCCUGCAAGGACUGGGUUGAUUUAGGUCCUAUUAAUAUGAUUGAUUGAUGAACAUGCAUUAAAUACACGUUGUUUGCUCUUGUUUAAAGAUGCUGAACUUUGUACAUUAAAACAAUAAGGAUAAUGCACGUCA